AACGAACGCUGGCGGCAGGCCUAACACAUGCAAGUCGAACGCCCGUAGCAAUACGGGAGUGGCAGACGGGUGAGUAACGCGUGGGAACGUGCCCUUCGGUUCGGAAUAACUCAGGGAAACUUGAGCUAAUACCGGAUACGUCCGUAAGGAGAAAGAUUUAUCGCCGAAGGAUCGGCCCGCGUCGGAUUAGCUAGUUGGUGAGGUAACGGCCCACCAAGGCGACGAUCCGUAGCUGGUCUGAGAGGANGAUCAGCCACACUGGGACUGAGACACGGCCCAGACUCCUACGGGAGGCAGCAGUGGGGAAUACUGGACAAUGGGCGAAGCCUGAUCCAGCCAUGCCGCGUGAGUGAAGAAGGCCUUAGGGUUGUAAAGCUCUUUCAGCGGGAAGAUAAUGACGGUACCCGCAGAAGAAGCCCCGGCUAACUUCGUGCCAG
This 437-nucleotide ribosomal RNA is filed under the name uncultured bacterium. RNAcentral's name for it is "bacterial SSU rRNA". It matches the Rfam family "Bacterial small subunit ribosomal RNA", at positions 29 to 511 of the family's 1533-position model. The record is from RNAcentral.